This 408-nucleotide ribosomal RNA is filed under the name uncultured bacterium. RNAcentral's name for it is "partial 16S ribosomal RNA". It matches the Rfam family "Bacterial small subunit ribosomal RNA", at positions 28 to 526 of the family's 1533-position model. The record is from RNAcentral.
GACGAACGCUGGCGGCGUGCUUAACACAUGCAAGUCGAACGAAGUGGCGAACGGGUGAGUAACGCGUAAUCAACCUGCCCUUCAGCGGGGGACAACAGUUGGAAACGACUGCUAAUACCGCAUACUGAAGGAGGGGAUUGCGUCUGAUUAGCUAGUUGGAGGGGUAACGGCCGACCAAGGCGAUGAUCAGUAGCCGGUCUGGGAGGAUGAACGGCCAACAUGGGACUGAGAAACGGCCCAGACCCCUACGGGAGACAGCAGUGGGGAAGCUUCCGCAAUGGACGAAAGUCUGACGGAGCAACGCCGGGGGAGUGAUGACGGCCUUCGGGUUGUAAAGCUCUGUUAAUCGGGACGCGGUACCGGAAUAGAAAGCCACGGCUAACUACGUGCCAGCCGCCGCGGUAAUUC